Molecule: long non-coding RNA, 4998 nt
Organism: Dicentrarchus labrax (European seabass)
Lineage: Eukaryota; Metazoa; Chordata; Actinopteri; Moronidae
Exons: 4
Source: RefSeq, a predicted model, not a curated record
UCAAGCCUGGGAUCAGGUUAGCUUGUUGCUGUGCAAAAGAAGGGAAGCAGGUUUUAGUCACAAGUUCAAAAUUAGAAUUAGAAUUUAAUUGACGCUCAUCAUUUUUGUUCUUAAACAAUUUUCAGAAUAUGCUGAUUUGUUUUUAAAGGAGCAAAUCAGUUUAAACUGAUUUAAACUUGGAUUUUACGUCCUUCAGGCAUCCAAAAGUUAUGUCUCCUGCUGCAAGAGGACGCUGACUACUACAAUUUACAGUAAAUCUACUGCUAAUCAGAGUGAGAAGAAGAAGAAUGAAAAUGACUCCUAGUAAGUACAAAUCUUCAUAGAAUCUUUACAAGAAAAAGUUCAAUUUCACACUAGUUUGGAGCAGAGUUUUUUGUCCUGGGGAACCCAAAAGUUUUUGCGUUGCCUGCUGCAAGAAGACUGUUCACUGAAGUUUACAAUAAACAAGGGGAAGCUCCCCGAAUGGACAUCUCUCGGAAAAAGUGACAGCGCCUCCCGACAGUUCUUCAAGGUCUCAUUUUCAGCAUGCCUGUGGCCACUAGCUAACCAUAAGAUCACUGCUUUCUGUCUGUCUCCAGGGUGAACCCAGCGCCCUUCCAGAGCUCCUCCUUUCCCAAAGUCCAAACUGAACUGAAGUAGAAGAAACAGACUGAAGUCAAUGGUUACUUAAUGUUUGUUGAAUGUAACCAUGCUGUCUGCUGUUGGUUUGGAGCGGCCUGCCAGGAGAAAAAAAGAAAGCCUCUCAAUUUCGGACUUUAAAUAUCUGAGGGUGGCCAUGUUCAUUUGAAAAGCUAAUAUUUACUGCACCCACCUGCACGAGGUAAGAAACCGUAUCUGUGCACAUGCGUGCAAACUAAUACACACAUGCAUGCGGAGCAGUCAGAGGAAUUUUAACCUCUGAGAGGGCGGGCGGACAGCGGGGUGAGAAAGAGGGUAUUCACCCUUCGCCAGGAGUUUGCAGUGUUCCUAAAGAUGAACAUCUGAUCAUCAAAGUCAAAUGCUACGUUGUGUUAAAAAACUGUUUUUUCUAACCUUCUGAGAUCACUUGGUUGUAACCAAGUUUAAGGAACACAAGUACAAGAAUUAGUUAUUAAUUCUAUUAGUUGAUCAACAGAAUAUUAAUCAGUAACUAUUGUGAUAACUAAGUAAUUGCUGAUGUCAUUUUGCAGGCAAAAUGGGCAUGUGAUAGUGUCAGUUUCUCAAAUGUGAGAAUUUGUUGCUUUUCUUGGUUUUUAAAUUAUAAAGCAAACUGGAAUUGAAAGUUCAAAUUGGUGGUCAAACAAAACAAGUCACAUUUGCUGACGUUACGUAACUUCUCACUAUUUUCUAAUGUUUUACAGAUAAAACAAUUCAUCAAUUAAUUAAGAAAAUUAACAGCAGAUUGAUCGUUAUUUGCAGCCUUAAUAAGGACCAAUUCCCUCCCCAUGUGCACUUCUGGAGCAACAUUUUAUUUUUGUUUCUUUGAAUAUUUUCUUAUGACGUAAAACAGAGAAAAAAAGACUUUUGAAUAAUUUCCACAUCAGCUCCAACUGGACUCCACAAAACAUGAGUCACAGGGCUGCAUGUGGACAGAGCUGACUGAAUAAAGAGCAUGUGUCUGUCAGUACAGAGGCGGAGAAGUCUUUGAAAUGAAACUCUCUAUGGUGGAGGCAAAAGAAAAGUGGUGGGACAAGAUGUCAACAACUGGAGCAGCCUGGGUAAAAAUUCCACCACAAAUGAUAGACAUAAAAUUAACACAAAACAUCAACACAGUCUGAAAUAUAGGAUGCAUUUGAGAAAUACUGUGAGGUUUUGUGAUUUAUUACUGAUUAAAUCUAGAGAUAUGAAUACAAACUACCACAUAUUAUAUAUAUAUUAUAAUAGAAAUGUCCAGCAGCAUAAGAUGUAUUGUAUUUUUUACUAAAAUAAAAGUAUGCAACUAAAAGUCCUCUAUUCAAAACUUAUGAAGUAAAAGUGCAGAAUUAUUGGGAACAAAAUGUACUUUAAGUAUCAAAGUAAAAGUAUGCAAAAUGGCCCCAUUCAGAGUCUUAAUAUUAUAUAACUGAAAUAUUAUUAUUGGUGCAUACAUACACAUGUAAACAGCCUUUUAAUCUAAAACAAUUACAUAGUUUAUUAUAGCUGCAAUCUGAUCUAGCUCGUCUGUUGGAUCGGAUUUCUAGCCAUCGUUCCCCAUGCCUUGAUGACCCUGUCCACUUUUGAUAGAUACUGACCACUGCAGACCGGGAACACCCCACAAGAGCUGCAGUCGUCUAGCCAUCACAAUUUGACCCCUUGUCAAAAUCCUCACGCUGCCUAUUUUUCCUGCUUCUAACACAUCAACUUUGAGGACAAAAUGUUCUCUGCUGCCCGAUAUAACCCACCCAUUGACAGGUGCAAUGAUAACAUAUACAUAAAACAUGCAUGUAUGUAUAUAUAUAUACUUAGUUACUUUCCACCACAACUUAAGCCGUGUGAUGACACCUGAGCCAGUUCCAUUUAUGAAGAAGACCAUGGCCUAAAAGGUCCGGAAGGCAUUGAUAAUUCUGAUUUUGUUACAUAUAUGGUUCCCAAAUGUCAAGAAUUACUUUCCAUGCUCAAACAUGAGUGUUUUUAAAGGUUUUCUAUUUCAUAUAAUGUAAGAGAUUUGCUGUUAAAUGAAAUAGAGCAAUACAAGGUGUGUGUGCAGAUUAAUAACAUAUAAGUUACGUAUGCAGAUAAAAUACAGUAUAAAGUGUAGGAGAGAAGAAACUGAAAUUAAUUUUUCUAUCUAUGUUCCUAGACAACACACAUGUGACACUGACAAAUCUCUCACAUGUUCAGUCAGUAUGAGCAAGACAUAAUGGUUAUUUAGUUUGUCAUGAAGCUGAUGUACUUUGUCAUUUAAAAGCCCUCUGAAAAAUCAGAGUCACCCAUGUCAUUAAGAACAGUAACACAAUAAAGUCACAGUUUCUCUUUAGAGUUCCUUGAAUGGGCGAAAAAAAAAACCCUUUUUUUCUUUUUUUAAAAAGAAACUCACAGAAGUGAAUGAUUAAACAUUUCCUUCUCAGUUCAAGGAUUCUGUCUAAUGAGGCCUUUUAAAAGCCUUGUUUACCUUUCUCUCCCUGCUCUGUGCGGAUGCCCGUGCUGUCAGAGACGGCUCACAAGGAACGCUGCUCUGUGCCCAGCGGGAGGCUCUCUCCGGACAAAUAAAAAGACAUCCCAAAUAGCCUUUCAGUCCACCGGGCCUGUCUGGAGCAAACUGCCUCACACAACUCCCACAAACACAGUCACCUCUACUAUAAAACCUCACACUUAAUUUUUUUCUACAUGAAAAAUUCACCUGACUGAUAAAGUUUUUUUUUCCUCUCCUGUCAUUUCCCUCCCUGCUGUGUCCAUUUAGCUGUCAGCGCCUUCACCCACUGAUUCUUAGCAUAAACUGUAUGUACUGCCUUGCCAUUGUUUCACACCAGCACACGCACAUAUUUGCUGCUUAAUGCUGAAGAUUAUUGGUUCCAUUUUAUAAAAUAGUGAGAAAUAUUACUGGAUCAGUCUUAUGCCAAAAAAAACAGGAAUCUUUAUUUCUCUGCCUGACAAAACUCUUUGUUCCCGCCGAAAACCUGACGACACAAUAGACGCAGGAAGUUCAGAAACAGUCCAAUUAAAGACUUCAUAUUGCGCUGAAGGUAAUUGAUGACUUUCAAAAUGAAAGAUGAUCUGGCCUUCGUCACAGCCAUACCAUGCAGAUAAAAUAGGAAAUGAAAACCUCUGUGGUCAUAAAUCACACUGGAGGCGUGUGUGAUUAUGCACCUAUUACAUGAUCAUAUUACAAAUCCAGUGAUAUAUACUGUCUUAGCCACACUAAUGUGUCUGUGUCUUUUAUGUGUAGUACCCAGACAUUUCAGUGCUGAGUGCAGCAUAAUGUGAUCAUCAGAUAAUCGGCUACAUUUACAGCUACAUGUGCAUGUAUGUGAGCUCCUGUUUCUCUCACAUCAUCAGUAUUGUAAAGACUGUAAAGCUCUAAGCUGACAAAUACGUCAGCACUGCUCUUAUUACUUUACAUUUAUUACCGCUGAUAAGCGGCCUAAUUUAUGCCCAGUCUAGAAGUGAAACAGCACCGUAUUAUAUGGGUCAGUUUGGGUGGGUUGGUUGAAUAGUCUGGUGGUCCUUACACACCAACCACAGAUUCAUCUAAUCUGAAUUAACCCAAUUUCUAGCUUUGACCCUUAAGCUCUUAAGCGCCUAAAGGUCCUGAAAUCUCAGAGAGGAAGCAACAAGUCAACAAUAUCCAAGAGACCCUACUGUGUGGAAGAUGUCCCUCUGCUCCUCUUUUCAAACUGUGGCGGUGCUCCCACUGUGUCCCACUCUCUGUUGCUGGAUUAAGACGGUGCUCAGGCCAUUUCUGUGUAGUGCUCCUAAGCACUACUCUAAGGCCCAUCCAAUUGUUGUGGAGCAGAGAUAACAGGAUUUGUAUGAGAGAAGUGUCUAUGCAUUGUUAUUGUCCUUCAGCCACAAAGAUUUGUUACCAUUUGUCCUCCAGAAGGACAAACAAACCCUGAAGCAGUUCUUCAGCUCACAUUUUACCAUAAACUGUAUGUAAAGGCAAGUUACAUAUUUCCAAUAAUUUCCUAUAACGUUCCCAGAAAGACCUGCAUCUUUAUCAUGGAGGAGAAAUAAAGGCAGUGUUCAAUAUCUGAUUAGUUGACUUUUGAAUGAAUUAAAUGAAUUGCAAGCAUAACAUAUAUAAUUUCUUACUCAGUGCAGUCAAAGCCGGUCUGUGAAAUGUGUCCAGGCUAGCAAACACUUCAACACAAAGCAACAUUUCCAAUAAUAAAUGGAUAAUGAAUGGACAUUUACUUGGGUUUCAUUCGAGAUCUUCUUUCAAGGACAUCCCUAUUCUCCCUCUAAUUAAUACUGUUGAGGGCAGAUGCUUCAGAUGGGCAAUGAGAGUGAGAGCGAAACAAAGGAACAAGGUUAUGUGCCGUAAAUCCAAAAGGAUGAACUGAAAGACACUCUGUAGAGAACGGCAUGAUAAUUCUUCAC